Molecule: ribosomal RNA, 603 nt
Filed under: uncultured marine bacterium
Lineage: Bacteria
Description: bacterial SSU rRNA
Rfam family: Bacterial small subunit ribosomal RNA
Source: RNAcentral
AGUCGAACGAAGUAGCAAUACUUAGUGGCAGACGGGCGAGUAACAUGUAGGUAUCUGCCCUUUGGCCUGGAAUAACACGAGGAAACUUGUGCUAAUACCGGAUAAGUCUUUACGGAGAAAGCUUUAUGCACCAUUGGAUGAGCCUGCACUUGAUUAGUUUGUUGGUAGGGUAAUGGCCUACCAAGACUGUGAUCAAUAGCUGAUUUGAGAGGAUGAUCAGCCACAUUGGGACUGAGACACGGCCUAAACUCCUACGGGAGGCAGCAGUGGGGAAUCUUGCACAAUGGAGGAAACUCUGAUGCAGCGAUGCCGCGUGAGUGAAGAAGGCCCUUGGGUUGUAAAGCUCUUUCGUCGGGGAAGAAAAUGACUGUACCCGAAUAAGAAGGUCCGGCUAACUUCGUGCCAGCAGCCGCGGUAAUACGAAGGGACCUAGCGUAGUUCGGAAUUACUGGGCUUAAAGAGUUCGUAGGUGGUUGAAAAAGUUGGUGGUGAAGUCCCAGAGCUUAACUCUGGAACUGCCAUCAAAACUUUUCAGCUAGAGUAUGAUAGAGGAAAGCAGAAUUUCUAGUGUAGAGGUGAAAUUCGUAGAUAUUAGAAAGAAUA